UGUCGGAGCCUUCCACAACAGAGGUUUCCCUUGGUACUAGUGGACAGGAGAAACAUAAGUCAGGAACUUCAUCUCUUCCAAUAUCAUUGGAUCCGUCCACAAUAACUCAACAAACUCAGGCCCAAACAAAUCUCGCCAGCAAGGAUAUUCUUCCUCAACAAACUCAGGCCACAACAAACAUCGCCAACAAGGAUAUUCUGUCUCAACAAACUCAUGCCCCAACAAACCUCUCUAGCCAAGCUACUCCAACAAGUACUAUCCAGAAAAUUAUGCUGCAACAAUCUUAUCAUGCUUCAACAAACCCUGCCAAUCAAGACCACAUGAUUUAAGGUAUUUUAAAGUUUAAAAAUCUGCAAGCUGUAGAUGAAGUGGAUAAAUAUAGAAAUAAAGCCAUAAAAGGUAAGGAUAUUGUGCGGGAGGAAAAUACAAAACCGAAGGAUAAG
Molecule: long non-coding RNA, 443 nt
Filed under: Musa acuminata (dwarf banana)
Lineage: Eukaryota; Viridiplantae; Streptophyta; Magnoliopsida; Zingiberales; Musaceae
Description: long non-coding RNA (MACU_LNC009907)
Source: RNAcentral